GCGAGUGGCGGUUAGGAGCUCCCGUUGGCGGUUACAAGAAGCUCCCACACACACUCUCUCUCUCCCCCCGUGCGUGCGCUCGCUCUCCCCCAUCUCAUUUUGGUUUUUCAAGAAAGGUCUAGGGCGUCAGCAAGAACGACCCGCCUCAUCCACACCCUAGACGUGACCGGGCUUCAAGGUCUCCUCCUAUGGCUCCCUCAAGUUCGAGGAGGAGGACGGUGAGAUCAAUGACUCGUCGUCGUCAACGGGGAAGAUCACGCUGAGUGCGACGAAGAGCAAUUCAGAGACCGGCGAGGUAAUGGGCGUGUUGGAGAUCCUCCAGCCGUUUGAUGGGGAUUUGGUUCGUGGGUGCCCAAAGACGUCAAGAUCCAUAGCAUCUGGUAAUUGAAACUCACGCUGCGGCACAUUUAUGAGGUCUGAUUAUGAUGAUGGAAGAUGAAUUGGCUGCUGAACCAGUGUAUCCUACAGUUGUAAAUAACAAUAGCAUACAUUAGCAUGUCCAGCGAGUUGAAAACAUGUUGCUUUGUCUGACUCAAAGUGAUGGUUGGUGAAGAUUUGCUUUCUAUUACCAGCUGUCUGCUGCUAAUAUGGAUGGAACGAAAGAUAGGAAAGACCAUGGGUUUUUGUCCUUGCUGUGCUCAGACUUUUUAGCUCCACCAUGCAAAAUGGUACAAAACAUAGAUCGUGGGAUUUAUCUUUUCCGUCCUUGCUGCGGUCAUUUAUUUGCCUCCACUAGGAAAAUGGAUAUGAAUAUCCAAGUAGAUGGAACAUGAGACCGGGCAACGAUUAUAUAUGCUUAUGCCAAGACAUGCUUAUGCCAAGACGUGCUUUGAUGUUGAAGUGGCCACAAAUCCACAAGUGUUGAUGACUUAGCCAAAAUUUAUUGAUGAUUUGAGUUGGUUGAGGUGUUGAUAUAUGAUGAGAUAAAAAGUUGUGUCAUGAAGAAUCCACCUGUUUUGAUAUUUUUGUACAGAGAAACCCUGCUUAGGAGACAUUUAACCAUAUUGGAGUGCAAUAUUUCUCCUGCAUUUCUCUUUCAUGUUCUAGGGAGGAAAAAAUUAAAAGGAGGAAGAAAGAAUUUCAAUUAGGGGCAGAGAGAUGAAAUCAAGUGAAAGCAUUUGUUUAGGUAUGUAAUGUUCAUUUUUUUUUUUAAUCUCUCUCAUAAAAUGCAUGUUAUGAGUAAGAUGCAUGUUAGAUCAUCAAGUUGUAACUAAAUUGCAUAAGAUCAAAGUAUUGGUUCCAAACUUUGUUUGACAUUUUCUUCAUUAACAGUUCAUGACGUGGUAAAUAGCUAAAAGUACUCCAGCAUGCUUGAGUGACUUGUUUUUUUAACGUUAUAGUGGUAGGUAUUAAACCCUUUGAUCCAUGCAUUAGUUACUUUAACAAGCGGACAAACUUGCCCCACUUAUACAUUUUGCAAAUGGCAAUAUGCUGCAGGCAGCAGCAACAUGUAGCUUGCGGGAAUGGAGGUAGUGCUUUUUGGGAAUUUUACUGGCAUUUAUUUAACGGCACCCAAACUCAUGUCUCUCCCAAACCAGCGCAUGCCCAACGCUGGUGGGGUGCCGGUAGAGUGCACUUAUUAAACGUCGGGAAAGGCAAUAGAUGAUGUAGUGUAAUUGUUGUUUUUCUUGUUACUAGACCCUCUUUUACUUGUUAUUUUGUAUGGUUAUGCAAUUCACAUGCAUAGGUAGAUUCUUUUUUCCUUCUAUCUUUGUUCUUUCUCUUUUAAAAAAAGUUUUUGUGAACUUUUAAUAUUUAGAAGUUGCUAUUUGCCAUUUUCCACUUGGUAGCACACAUCUGGAGCAAAUUGAUCAAGAUGGGUGUGUCUUCUCCCAAUUGCUUUCAGGUUCCAAUGUUAUUGUCAAUGAAAAAGUUUUGAGUUGACCAUUUUCCCUUCUCUCCCAUUUGCUUACAGGUCAUUGUCGUGAUCUUUUGCCGUGAUUUUUGUCCUGCUUUCUUGAGAAGGUUUCACUCUCUCUCUCUUGUGCCACCUCCUUUCUCCUGCCUCUUUGUUUGCCUAUUGCAUUGAUUGUUCAUCUUCUUCUUAAUAACCUUCUUUUUUUGCCCCCCUUUAAGUUUUAGAGCCAGUUUUGCAACUCGUCUUCUUCUCUACAUUAGUGUCUCUAAUUUGGUUUUUAGAGCCAGUGACAAAGAGGGGUUUUAUCAAAACGUAUAUUGGGAAACAGGAAAGAAAGAGUAUGGGGAUCAAGAAAAAAUGUCCCAUCUCAGAGAAUCAUUUUCCACAUCUCCCACCCAAAAACUUGGUCCAUACCCACACCAUUCAUCCAUCAUUUUCAUUGCUCGUUUAUUCACUUCUUCUGUAGAAUUUUGAUGUUGGUUGUUUCAAUUAGCUAGACUUACCAUUGGAAUCUGUGUUUUUUGUUCAGUUUUAAGAGAUUCUUGGUGGAUAGAUGCAUGGGCUGAAUGUCUCUGCAUUAUUGAGACCGAGAACUUGUUGCGCCAAUAGGAACAAUGAAUGACAUGUACAUGUCAUGCGUUUGGAUCAUUUUAUUUUAAGUACGGCACAUCUUCUAUAUUAAGUAUCUCAGAAAUGCUUGAAAGCUUCGCUAAUGAAUCAUCAGGGCCAUCAAGUUUUGCAAGGUAAAUCAUGCCACGGCUCCCUUGGGGAAGUCACACCUGCUUAUAAGGGCCCCAUUAACAGAAAAAUGACAAAUGAAUGUUUUGAAUGUUAUAGCUUGCAAAAUGUUAUAGCUUGCAAUCCGAUUUUCGUCUCAAGAAAACUCAUGGCACAAAGAUCUUCAUGAUUGUUAGACUGAGCUGUUAUUAGAUGAAGCAAUAUUAGCUAUGUCUACAGCUUUGCUGACUUUACACAGGAGAGUGAUGGAAUGGAAACUGAAAAUUUUCAAGGAUUAAGAGAAUAGGAAUGGAUAAAACAAGAAAAUUUUAACAGCAAAAAAAUUGGAAAGCAUGAGAACGAAGGCGUAAAUGAAGAAUGCUUUGGUAUCAUAUCGCCCAUUACAUAAAUCUAACCCUGCAACAAAUGCAAUAAUUGUUCCCUUGCCAUUACCAACAUCCGCAUCCAAGAUCACUGACCUUUGAUGAUGAGGAUAAAUUGUUCCAACUUUCUUUUGCAUUUUUUCCUUUUCAUUUUAAUGAACCAAGGCACUGCAUUGUGUAACUGUAAUUUUGACGUUCCUAUAUUUGAUAUUCUACAUUGUUUUUUUCUCAAUUUUCUUGAUAGCAUGUAUCGGAGAUGUCUUGUAGGCUUGUAGCAGACUUGGCAUCGUGUUCAACCCAAUUGGUUUCUUUAUUCAGCUUCUUGAACGGAAGCCAUUUGACAUUUCCUUGAUAUUAGCUUAAAGAAUAGGGUUUUGCAGGCUCCAAUUGCAGGUCCACUUGGGUCAAGGACAAAGAAUGAAUCCGAUCUUUGGUUGGUGCAUGGGUUCCACUGACAUAAGAUGAAUAAGUCAUCCGCCUCCCCUUCCUUCUGUAUUUCGUUAUUUUGCUUUCUCUAUUGGCCAAUAAAAAGAUUUCUUAUGUAUUCGUUAUUUUGGUCUUCCAACGAAAUUUGCUUAAAAAAUAAAUGGCAUUGCUUCUGUGUUGCAGGAUACGAAUAUCCAAGUAGAUAGAACAUGAAACCGAGCAAGGAUUAGAUAUGCUCAUGCCAAGACGUGCUUAAAUGUUGAAAUGGCCACGAGCGCUGACGGCUAACUAAACUUUAUUGAUGUACGAAAAAAAAAGUAACUUUUUUGAAUGGGUCGUUCAUUGCUCUUUGAAGCUUCACAUGUGGACAAUGGUCAUGAACUAGAUGAAGGUACCAAGGAAAAAGAUGAGGUUCUCAGUCUAGGAACAUAAGACACACCAAGCUAAGCUUGACAACGUUUGGAUGCUUUAGAAUUGCACGGACGUGAUUAAAAUUUUCAUUACUAAA
Molecule: long non-coding RNA, 3892 nt
Organism: Nymphaea colorata (pocket water lily)
Lineage: Eukaryota; Viridiplantae; Streptophyta; Magnoliopsida; Nymphaeales; Nymphaeaceae
Exons: 4
Source: RefSeq, a predicted model, not a curated record